Non-coding RNA from Peromyscus californicus insignis, 1184 nucleotides. NCBI's taxonomy places the organism in Eukaryota, Metazoa, Chordata, Mammalia, Rodentia, Cricetidae. The record is from the annotation of a RefSeq genome assembly.
UCUUUCUUGGGCUGUGCCAUGACACACAUAAACACAGAGAAAGCUGGAAGAUGGUGUCCACAUCUCAGGUCCUUGGGCUUCUGUUCGUCUGGGUUUCAGCCUCCAGAGGUGACAUUGUGCUGACUCAGUCUCCAGCCACCCUGUCUGUGACUCCAGGAGAAAGAGUCACCAUGACCUGCAAGGCCAGCCAGGGUAUUAGCAAUUACUUACACUGGUAUCAGCAAAAACCAAAUGAGGCUCCAAGGCUUCUCAUCAAGUAUGCUUCCCAGUCAGUCUCUGGGAUCCCCUCCAGGUUCAGUGGCAGUGGGUCAGGGACAGAUUUCACCCUCAGCAUCAACACUGUGGAGCCUGAAGAUGUUGCAACUUAUUACUGUCAACAGAGUAGCAGCUGGCCUGCCACAGUGAUACAGACCAUAGCAAAAACUACCAGGAAAGCAGAAGUGUGAGUCUGAGCUACUUCAGCUGCUUCUGGUGGUGCCUGAACUUUCUUCAAAGUAUUUUACAGAUGCAGACACGUAGCAUGAAUCUUAAAGAGUCUUAUUAAUAAAACCAAUCCUAAGGCCAGUUAUUGAGGUGCAUGCUGGAAUAUCAGAGAGACAGAACAAGCCAAAGCUACCUCACCUUGCCAUUUCCUCAGCUGAUCCUGUUUCCUCAGACUGGAAACCUCUGAGUGCUCAUCCAGAAUGAAUCUCAGCUGAACUGCUGCUAGAAGCCUGAAAGCUUAACCAGCCAAAAUGCUUCUAGUUUCUGGUCCUCACGCCUUAUAUAUCUUUCUGCUUUCUACCAUCACUCCCUGGGAUUAAAGGCUCACUUUCUGGGAUUAAAGGCAUGAGUCACCAUGCUUGGCUGUGUACUUGAACACAUGGAUUUCUGCCUCUGGAAUGCUAGGUUUAAAGGCGUGUGCUACCACUGCCCAUCCUCUAUGUUUAAUAUUGUGGCUGUUCUGUCUCUGACCCCAGAUAAGUUUAUUAAGGUGCACAAUAUUUUGGGGAACACAAUACCACCACACAGACAGCCUUGAGAUUUACACAGACAAUUGAAGUGAAGAGGCCUAGAAAGUUUUCUUGCCUCUGACCUCUCUUCACUCCAUUUUAGCUCCAUAACACAUACAUAAUUUAGUGUUAUAUUUUUCCUGUAUUCAUUUACUUUAGCUCUCAGUGAAUUUGUCAGGAGAGUUAAGAACC